AACCGGAUUAGAUACCCUCGUAGUCCACGCCCUAAACGAUGUCAACUAGAUGUUGGGAGGGUUAAACCUCUUAGUGUCGUAGCUAACGCGUGAAGUUGACCGCCUGGGGAGUACGGCCGCAAGGCUAAAACUCAAAGGAAUUGACGGGGACCCGCACAAGCGGUGGAUGAUGUGGAUUAAUUCGAUGCAACGCGAAAAACCUUACCUACCCUUGACAUGUCAGGAAUCCCGGAGAGAUUUGGGAGUGCUCGAAAGAGAACCUGAACACAGGUGCUGCAUGGCUGUCGUCAGCUCGUGUCGUGAGAUGUUGGGUUAAGUCCCGCAACGAGCGCAACCCUUGUCAUUAAUUGCCAUCAUUUAGUUGUGUUCUUUAAUGAGACUGCCGGUGACAAACCGCAGGAAGUUGUGUAUGACGUCAAGUCCUCAUGGCCCUUAUGGGUAGGGCUUCACACGUCAUACAAUGGUCGGUCCAGAGGGUUGCCAACCCGCGAG
RNAcentral lists this ribosomal RNA (492 nucleotides) under uncultured bacterium. Its description in RNAcentral is "bacterial SSU rRNA". It matches the Rfam family "Bacterial small subunit ribosomal RNA", at positions 771 to 1261 of the family's 1533-position model. The record is from RNAcentral.